GAUGAACGCUGGCGGCGUGCCUAAUACAUGCAAGUCGAGCGAACGGACGAGAAGCUUGCUUCUCUGAUGUUAGCGGCGGACGGGUGAGUAACACGUGGAUAACCUACCUAUAAGACUGGGAUAACUUCGGGAAACCGUAGCUAAUACCGGAUAAUAUUUUGAACCGCAUGGUUCAAAAGUGAAAGACGGUCUUGCUGUCACUUAUAGAUGGAUCCGCGCUGCAUUAGCUAGUUGGUAAGGUAACGGCUUACCAAGGCAACGAUGCAUAGCCGACCUGAGAGGGUGAUCGGCCACACUAGAACGGAGACACGGUCCAGACUCCUACGGGAGGCAGCAGUAGGGAAUCUUCCGCAAUGGGCGAAAGCCUGACGGAGCAACGCCGCGUGAGUGAUGAAGGUCUUCGGAUCGUAAAACUCUGUUAUUAGGGAAGAACAUAUGUGUAAGUAACUGUGCACAUCUUGACGGUACCUAAUCAGAAAGCCACGGCUAACUACGUG
This 497-nucleotide ribosomal RNA is filed under the name uncultured bacterium. RNAcentral describes it as "partial 16S ribosomal RNA". It matches the Rfam family "Bacterial small subunit ribosomal RNA", at positions 28 to 507 of the family's 1533-position model. The record is from RNAcentral.